This is a long non-coding RNA of Artibeus jamaicensis (Jamaican fruit-eating bat), 532 nucleotides long. RefSeq lists it as uncharacterized. NCBI's taxonomy places the organism in Eukaryota, Metazoa, Chordata, Mammalia, Chiroptera, Phyllostomidae. The record is from RefSeq and is a predicted model, not a curated record. The transcript has 3 exons.
CACCCUCUUUCCAGGUACCAGUCACUUGUUUCGUUUCUCCCAGGAAGAAUACAAUCGUCAGAGGCAAAUUAAGGCAGCAUAUCAUCACGAACCCGAGCAGAAAUAAAUGAAGACAUAAAGAAAGGUUCCCAGUUCACCUAAAAUGCGGAUCUGCCUUAAAGGCACCGCCCUGACCAAGGCUGGGCAUUGGCUCUACGGCGGCCACAGGGGCCCAAGUAAAACGGCAUCCAAGCAGGAGCUCCAGUCAGUCCUGUAGCCAUCAGUUCACUCAGCACGCCCCUCUCAGGUGUCCUCAGAGGAAAGACGGAAGGAAGCCUGAGUUCGUGCUUGAGCCAGCCUGUCCUGGACGGCACAUCCGGAGGCCAUCGCGGUGGCUGCAGCAGCAGCAGUUACUGAGAAUCCCCUACGAGGGGAAGAAUGUUGGUGGAAAAGAGUCACGGGUCCAGCUUGGCUUCCCUUGCAGAGUUGUGUCCUACCACUCCCACCUAUUAAACUUAGGGCACCUGAGCUGGUUUUACUGAGGCACUGAUUU